CCCAAGCCCGCACGUGCAGUCCCCACCUUGCGCGCAGCCCCAUGUACAGCCCCCCACACGCUCCCAGCCCCACUGGCGCAGAAUUCAUCACCGCUUGCCCUUCACGCGCUUCAUUGGGAGUGCAGCCCCCACCCCGAGCGCGCAGCUCCACGCAGCUUCUCCACACUCUCCCCAGCGCCUGCAGCACCCCCAGUGCGCACAGCUCUGCCAAUCGCUUCCCCGCGCGCCGCCCCUGCACCCUAUAACCUUGCUGGCGACUAAGUCUGAAGAACUUCCCGUGGUUUCAUUCUUGUCUUCGGAUUUAGUCUUAGAUCUGACAUUUUAACCAAAAGGUUACACGUUAACGAGGUAUUAAAGGGGAAGAUCUCAGCUGAAAGAAAUGACUGUAGGAAGUGUGUCAGGGAAGCCAACGGAACCGCCGGCCAGCUCGUGGUGCGCCCGGCCUUAGGAAAGUCUCUGCUCUCCUACGAUCUCUGGGAUAUCGAAUGGGGCAAAGCAAGAAAAGAGGACUCUGUGGGAGUGCAUUGGAAUUGGAGCAGAACAAGAAGUGCAAAUAAUUUGUUUAGCCUGGAAGCCCACUGUGAGAAUUUCUAAAAUGCGGUACCCUGAAAAAUGAGGAUGACUCACCGAACAGGUCAAGUGAUUUAGAAAUAAAAUUCAAUUUACACUCCUUGAUUUCUGUCUCUUUGUUCUGACAUCUGCUAUAUUGGGAGAUGACUAGGAUGAGAUGGUGGAGCCCUCAUGAAUGAGACUAGUGUCCUUAUGAAAGAGCCUGAGGAAGCUUACUUGCCCUUUCCACCAAGAAGGCACCAUUUAUGAAGCGGAGUGCAUGUCCUCACAAGAUGCUAAACCUGCCAGUACCUUGCUUUUGGACUUUCCAGCCU
Long non-coding RNA from Symphalangus syndactylus (siamang), 884 nucleotides. RefSeq lists it as uncharacterized. The record is from RefSeq and is a predicted model, not a curated record. Lineage: Eukaryota; Metazoa; Chordata; Mammalia; Primates; Hylobatidae.